GAUGAAGAACGCAGCGAAAUGCGAUAAGUAUUGUGAAUUGCAGAAUUCAGUGAAUCAUCGAAUCUUUGAACGCACAUUGCGCCCCCUGGUAUUCCGGGGGGCAUGCCUGUCCGAGCGUCAUUACAACCCUCAAGCUCAGCUUGGUGUUGGGCCCCGCCGCCCCGGCGGGCCCUAAAGUCAGUGGCGGUGCCGUCCGGCUCCGAGCGUAGUAAUUCUUCUCGCUCUGGAGGUCCGGUCGUGUGCUCGCCAGCAACCCCCAAUUUUUUUCAGGUUGACCUCGGAUCAGGUAGGGAUACCCGCUGAACUUAAGCAUAUCAAUAAGCGGAGGA
This 329-nucleotide unclassified non-coding RNA is filed under the name soil metagenome. Its description in RNAcentral is "partial contains 5.8S ribosomal RNA, internal transcribed spacer 2, and large subunit ribosomal RNA". The stretch from base 1 to 120 matches the Rfam family "5.8S ribosomal RNA", at positions 35 to 154 of the family's 154-position model. The record is from RNAcentral.